This 497-nucleotide ribosomal RNA is filed under the name uncultured bacterium. Its description in RNAcentral is "partial 16S ribosomal RNA". It matches the Rfam family "Bacterial small subunit ribosomal RNA", at positions 28 to 507 of the family's 1533-position model. The record is from RNAcentral.
GACGAACGCUGGCGGCGUGCCUAAUACAUGCAAGUUGAGCGAGGAAGAUUGGUGCUUGCACCAAUUUGAAGAGCAGCGAACGGGUGAGUAACGCGUGGGGAAUCUGCCUUUGAGCGGGGGACAACAUUUGGAAACGAAUGCUAAUACCGCAUAACAACUUUAAACAUAAGUUUUAAGUUUGAAAGAUGCAAUUGCAUCACUCAAAGAUGAUCCCGCGUUGUAUUAGCUAGUUGGUGAGGUAAAGGCUCACCAAGGCGAUGAUACAUAGCCGACCUGAGAGGGUGAUCGGCCACAUUGGGACUGAGACACGGCCCAAACUCCUACGGGAGGCAGCAGAAGGGAAUCUUCGGCAAUGGACGAAAGUCUGACCGAGCAACGCCGCGUGAGUGAAGAAGGUUUUCGGAUCGUAAAACUCUGUUGGUAGAGAAGAACGUUGGUGAGAGUGGAAAGCUCAUCAAGUGACGGUAACUACCCAGAAAGGGACGGCUAACUACGUG